CAGAACCUGACCACAGAGCCAUCUGAUUGGUCAGAACCUGACCACAGAGCCAUCUGAUUGGUCAGAACCUGACCACAGAGCCAUCUGAUUGGUCAGAACCUGACCACAGACAGUUAAACCACAAAACGAGAGAGAGAUAAACAGCGGACAGAACAAAGAAACAACAACCAAAACAGUCUGUAUGAACUGGACCAGACGGUAACCAUAACAACCACAGACAUGAUCAGAGAAUCAGACUACCAAUAAGAACCCCAGAAACAUACAUUUAAAAACUGACCAGUUUCACAUACAGACUGCGUCCCAAUUGGCCCCCUAUUCCCCAUAGGGCUCUGGUCAACAGUAGUGUACUAUAUAGGGAAUAGGGCCCUAGUCAACAGUAGUGUACUAUAUAUAGAGAAUAGGGCUCUGGUCUAAAGCAGUGUACUAUAUAGGGAAUAGGGCUCUGGUCUAAAGUAGUGUACUAUAUAGGGAAUAGGGCUCUGGUCAAAAGUAGUGUACUAUAUAUAGAGAAUAGGGCUCUGGUCUAAAGCAGUGUACUAUAUAGGGAAUAGGGCUCUGGUCAAAAGUAGUGUACUAUAUAUAGAGAAUAGGGCUCUGGUCAACAGUAGUGCACUAUAUAGGGAAUAGGGCUCUGGUCUAAAGAAGUGCACUAUAUAGGGAAUAGGGCUCUGGUCAACAGUAGUGCACUAUAUAAGGAAUAGGGUCUCAUUUGGGACCUAACCACUCUUCUGGUGAGAGAACAUGUGACAAACAAGUACACUAUAUAGAAAACAGGGUGGCAUUUGGGUCGCAAUCAAUAUGUGGUCCAUAAAAUAGUGGCUUCACCAUCCAGCUGAUAACAAUCUGAUAUAACUAUGAUAGCAGUCAUUUAAUAUAAAAACAAUCACAAUGUCAUGGCAACUAAUGAUCUGUGAUUAGGUCAGAAUAGGGAGAGAGGAAUGGGACCGGGAGAGAGGGGUGAAGGGAGAGGAGGAUGAAGAGAGAGGUAGAGAGAGGUAGAGAGAGAGAGGUAG
RNAcentral lists this long non-coding RNA (1013 nucleotides) under Salmo salar (Atlantic salmon). Its description in RNAcentral is "lncRNA (ENSSSAG00000102623.1)". Lineage: Eukaryota; Metazoa; Chordata; Actinopteri; Salmoniformes; Salmonidae. The record is from RNAcentral.